AUAGAUAUUAAAAAACCUUGCAAGUUGACUUGAAGGUAAACCUUUAUGUGCUUAUCAUUGAUUUGUUACUCUGAAUUGUACCUAAAAUGUUUACAUUUCUUUGUCUAAUUAUUUAUCUACAGGAAUUAGUCACUCAAGAAAAAGCCACACCUCUUUUGAAUGCGCCAUCAAUUGUUUCAUCUAGCAAUGAUCUCAAAAAAAAUUCAGAAGACCUUUCAGUUGCAGCUUCUCAUUUGCAAUUUUCUGGUUCAAUAUUAGAUGCUCCAGUGCCUUCUUCUUCUCUAGAUAUUUGUUCCACCUUGCAAUUUAGCAUUCAAGAUUUGAGGAAAAGGAGGCAGCAGAGGCUGUCCAUAAUGCAAUCUAGUUGUCAUACAUCUGGAAGUGUAAAGAUGAGAAGGUCAACAAUGUUGCAGGUUUCUUUUAGCUGGCACUAGAACUUGAUUCUGCUCUUAUUCUAAUUAACUUAGUUUCUUGUGUAGGUGCUUUGCUGCUGCGACACUGGAGCUUUCUCAACCAGAAAAUGAGGAGCGUAAAGCAAGGGCUUUAGCUGCAGCAACUACCGAGUUGGAAAGGCUCUUUAGAAAAGAGGACUUUGGCAGAAUGAAGGUGAUUUAUUGAUCGUAUAUCUGCUUCUGUAUCUGCACCUGUAUCUGCACAAGUUUGAAGCUUGACUUCGUUUGUCCCAUGUUUGCAUGACUUGGUCUCUCUCUCUUUUUCUUUUUUUUGUGGGGGGGAGAGUUUCAUUUCCCUGGGGACUUUGGUCCGUGCUGGUCUUAUGCAAUUAAUAUCAUCACAAGGAUAUUGUACAAUUUGCUCUUGCAUUUCAUGAAUUUAGAUAAUAAAAAGUUGGGUCCAUACACAUCACUAGCACUAGAACUUACAAUUGACUGAUUGAGCAUUUAGGGUGCGUUUGAGAUUGGGGUUCGGCAGUUGUAGUUUAAAAACUACAGCACUAAAAUGUUUGGUAAACAUUAGCUGCUGUAGUUUGGAAAAUAUGUUGAUAUUAUUUUUCACUUGUAUAAUAAAAAAUCUAUUAUAUCUUUAAUAAUUUUUUUAAAAUUAUUAUUUAAAAUUUAUAUUUAUUACAUAUUAUUAAUUUUUGUUUUAUUGUUACAACUUUUUUUCCACAGUAGCUGUAGUUUAAAAUUACAGUACCUCAAUCUCAAACAAGACCUUAAUAAAUUUAUAAUUUUAUAUAUAAUCUUUUUUUUUUUUGUAAAACACACACACUCUCUUCGGAUAGAUAUUAAAAAACCUUGCAAGUUGACUUGAAGGUAAACCUUUAUGUGCUUAUCAUUGAUUUGUUACUCUGAAUUGUACCUAAAAUGUUUACAUUUCUUUGUCUAAUUAUUUAUCUACAGGAAUUAGUCACUCAAGAAAAAGCCACACCUCUUUUGAAUGCGCCAUCAAUUGUUUCAUCUAGCAAUGAUCUCAAAAAAAAUUCAGAAGACCUUUCAGUUGCAGCUUCUCAUUUGCAAUUUUCUGGUUCAAUAUUAGAUGCUCCAGUGCCUUCUUCUUCUCUAGAUAUUUGUUCCACCUUGCAAUUUAGCAUUCAAGAUUUGAGGAAAAGGAGGCAGCAGAGGCUGUCCAUAAUGCAAUCUAGUUGUCAUACAUCUGGAAGUGUAAAGAUGAGAAGGUC
RNAcentral lists this long non-coding RNA (1639 nucleotides) under Citrus sinensis (sweet orange). RNAcentral's name for it is "long non-coding RNA (CSIN_LNC002401)". Lineage: Eukaryota; Viridiplantae; Streptophyta; Magnoliopsida; Sapindales; Rutaceae. The record is from RNAcentral.